CCCUUAGAUGUCCUGGGCCGCACGCGCGCUACACUGACGGAGGCAGCGAGCUUACCCCUUUGCCGAAAGGCAUGGGAAAUCUUUUGAAUCUCCGUCGUGCUGGGGAUAGAUCAUUGCAAUUAUUGAUCUUGAACGAGGAAUUCCUAGUAAGCGCAAGUCAUCAACUUGCGUUGAUUACGUCCCUGCCCUUUGUACACACCGCCCGUCGCACCUACCGAUUGGAUGGUCCGGUGAAGCCUCGGGAUUGUGGUUCUUGCCGCUUUAUUGUGGCGUGACCGCGAGAACUUGUCUAAACCUUAUCAUCUAGAGGAAGGUGAAGUCGUAACA
This 327-nucleotide ribosomal RNA is filed under the name uncultured eukaryote. RNAcentral describes it as "partial 18S ribosomal RNA". It matches the Rfam family "Eukaryotic small subunit ribosomal RNA", at positions 1470 to 1796 of the family's 1831-position model. The record is from RNAcentral.